AGGCGGAUUCUUAACGACUGUGCCACCAGGGAAGCCCUCUCCUGUCAUUUCUUAUUAUUUGUGUGAUUCUUUGAUUAACACCAGUCUCCCUGAUUGGGCUGCAUGAAGAUAAGGGUGGGGUCUGUUUUGUUGCUCACUGUAUCCCCAGUGCCAAGCAUGGGGUUGGCAUAUACUAGGUACUUAACAAAUAUUAGUUGAGUGGAUGAAGGAAUGAUUGAGUGAGUUGUCUACUAUGUUUUGCACAAGCUGUCUAGUGGCCCGGGUGACCGUGCCCCCUCCCCCACAUCUUUGCUUAGUCCGCUCGUACUGGUUUUUCCAAGGAAAACACAGUUUGGAGAAAGUUGAGCCUGGAGCCACUCCUUCUUGGUCCCCCAGGGCAGACCUCUUAUCACCCCUAUGAAUUGUUGGUUAACCCACUGUCACCCACUUGGGCUGGAAGGCGGCUGCUGCCUUUGAUCUCAGCCUUCCAGGCCCUCUCUCCACCCUUGUGUUUGCCUAGUGCAGAAGGAGAGCGCUAAGGGGAGUCCCCUGGCACCUGGCCAGACCUUUCCCCAAAUCACUCCUCCUGCUAUUAGACCUUGCCUAACCCCUUCGAUUUUAGAAGGGGAAGCUGAGACACUGGACUUUGCUUAGAAGGGAAGAUAUAUGCUGGGUGCCUCUGAGGGGCCAGGGUGCAGUCUGGGUGGCCAGACUGUGGCUGGAGGUCGAGGGGCAGGCCAUGUUGCUGGACUCCCUCUGGCUGGCUUCCCUCUUUCGCAGAGUGCCCUUUGCUCCAGGGGGGUAGGACCCUGAGCAGCAGACAGGCCCCCUAAAUUGGCCAAUGAACAGACCAGGUCUGGGGAGGGGCAUGGGGAAGAGUGGGCUGAGCCAUUUUCCCUGACUUUCCAGGCCCCAGCCUCUCCCUCCCAGGUCAUGAGGAUGCUAGAUCUUCGCUCUCGAGGCAGUUCAGUUCGACUGUCUCUCCCCUGGCACCUGCUAAGAAGGACGAAAACAAUCCCAGCCAGCGUAGAGCGUCAGGGAGUCCCCGCCCCUCCUCCUGUGCUUCCUCCUCCCCUGCCCCUCCUUCAGGCCCCGCCCCCACCUGCCCAGGAUAAUUUGUUUCCUUGGGCCAGGAGCCUGGACAACAGAGCUCAGCCUGCCCCCACUUCUGCGUCCAGUCAGGACACCCUCAUGCCACCUGUAGAGAAGAGGGAGCAGAUUUGAAAUCAAGUCCAGGCAUCUGAUGUUCCUAGAUAGAGCCGGACUUCGAACGCUGUGUCCUGCUACUCCUGCUGGGGCUCCUCCAGAUGUCAUGGAGCUGGGUCUGUCUCCACCUCAUCUCAGCAGCUCCCCAGAAGACCUGUACCUGGCCCCUGGGACCCCUCCUGGGACUCCCCCACCUCCCGAUGUUCCUCUGUCUGGGGAGGUGAAGAGGUCCCAGCCUCUGCCCAUUCCGACCAGCAGGAAACUUCUUCGACAGGAGGAGCUGCGGUCAACCUCUCUACCCUCCAUCCCCAACCCCUUCCCCGAGCUCUGCAGUCCUCCUUCACAGACCCCCAUUCUUGGGGGGCCCUCCAGUGCAAGGGGGCUGCUCCCUCGAGACACCAGCUGCCCCCAUGUCAUAAAGGUGUACAGUGAAGAUGGAGCCUGCCGGUCAGUGGAGGUGGCAGCGGGCGCCACGGCUCGCUACGUGUGUGAGAUGCUGGUGCAGCGAUCUCAUGCCCUGAGUGACGAGAACUGGGGGCUGGUGGAGGGCCACCCCCACCUAGCACUGGAGCGGGUCUUGGAGGACCAUGAGUCAGUGGCGGAAGUGCAGGCUGCCUGGCCCAUCGGCGGAGACAGCCGCUUUCUCUUCCGGAAGAACUUUGCCAAGUACGAGCUGUUCAAGAACACCCCACACUCCCUGUUCCCAGAAAAGAUGGUCUCCAGCUGUCUGGACGCACACACGGGCAUAUCCCACGAAGACCUCAUCCAGAACUUCCUGAAUGCAGGCAGCUUCCCAGAGAUCCAGGGCUUCCUGCAGCUACGGGGGUCAGGACGCAAGCUUUGGAAACGCUUCUUCUGCUUCCUACGCCGGUCUGGCCUCUAUUACUCCACCAAGGGCACCUCCAAGGAUCCGAGGCACCUGCAGUACGUAGCGGAUGUGAACGAGUCCAACGUGUACGUGGUGACCCAGGGCCGCAAGCUCUAUGGGAUGCCCACGGACUUCGGCUUCUGUAUCAAGCCAAACAAGCUUCGAAAUGGCCACAAGGGGCUUCGCAUCUUCUGCAGUGAGGAUGAACAGAGCCGCACCUGCUGGUUAGCCGCCUUCCGCCUCUUCAAGUAUGGGGUGCAGCUGUAUAAGAAUUAUCAGCAGGCACUGUGCCGCCACCUGCGCCCACCCUGUGUGGGUUCCCCGCCCUUGAGGAGUGUCUCAGACAACACCCUGGUGGCCAUGGACUUCUCUGGCCACGCCGGGCGUGUCAUCGAGAACCCCCGGGAAGCUCUGAGUGCCGCCCUGGAGGAGGCCCAGGCCUGGAGGAAGAAGACGAACCACCGACUAAGCCUGCCCACCCCGAGCUCCGGCACGAGCCUCAGUGCAGCCAUCCACCGCACCCAACCCUGGUUCCACGGACGCAUUUCCCGCGAGGAGAGCCAGCGGCUCAUCGGGCAGCAGGGCCUGGUAGAUGGCGUGUUCCUCGUGCGAGAGAGCCAGCGGAACCCGCAGGGCUUUGUCCUCUCGCUGUGCCAUGUGCAGAAAGUCAAACAUUACCUCAUCAUGCCGAGCGAAGAGGAGGGGCGCCUGUACUUCAGCAUGGACGAGGGCCAGACUCGCUUCACCGACCUGCUGCAGCUUGUGGAAUUCCACCAGCUGAACCGCGGCAUCCUGCCCUGCUUGCUGCGCCACUGCUGCACCCGCGUGGCCCUCUGACCACCACACAGGGCCACCAUGAGGGACCUGGACUGCUGGGGGCCUUUCGAGGCAGCAGCUGGCUCAGCCCUGAGCUGGAUACUGGAAAUCGGCAGCUGGACAUCCUUGGUGAGUGGCUGAGACUGCUGGCUUCCUGGAGGAGAGGCAGCAGUUGAGAAUGCGGGAGACAAGGGCCCCUCAGCUCACAGAGAGACCAGGGCAAGAUUCCCCAGCUCUGAGGAUGCAGCAUGACCCCCAGAGGCCAGACAGCAGAAGGGACUGCCAAGGAGAGCUGCAGUGCUAGAUAGCGGAGGCCUGUGGUUAUGAGGAAAUCUGGGCUGGUGGGAGGAGGCGGGGCAGGUAGAGGCUAGUGCCUCAGAUAUUGUCUUUUCAAUAUUAAGUUAUUGGGUUUGAUUAUCUUAAAAAAUGUCCUUGUUAAAGAACAUUUCAGAAACCGGUAAAAGACUUUGGGAAAGAAAAGGAAAUUCCCCAUAUCUCCCCCUGCUGAGGACGCAAGCAUUGAGAGAGGGUGGUGCAGGGCCAUACGCAGGGAGCUGGCCCUAAAAGGCCUGUAGUACGUCAUGGACACCGGCUCCUGGGGCUAGUGUGGCUGCUGUGAGCCUGGCGCCAAGGCGCAGAGCUGUCCUUGGCAGCAACUGGGCCUGUAGGAGGGUGUGGCCACAGGGUUGGCCUCCCUGCCUGCUCAGGUAUGGAGGGCAGGGAGGGCUGGUGCCAACUUUCUGGACUCUGGGAAAAGGUGGGCAUGAUUCUAGGGGAGCCCAUCUCUCCUAGGAUGUCCUGGGAGGGUCAUCCAGACAGACAAAACUCUGGCCAGUUCAUUCUCUCCCUGCUCCCCAGACAUCCUGGUCAAUGAAAUCUAUGCAGCCUCCAAGUUCAUGAGCGGAGGACCUCCUGGUGCAGGCCUGAGGGUUCCACCUCAGGUCAGUGACCCUGUCUGGCUCCUUCCUCUUGCUCCGGUGCCAGACACACCGAGGAGGGAGGGAGGGAGGAAAGGAGAGAGGCAGGGGAGCCCAAGGACACUCAGAAAGAUCCUUUCUUCUGAACUGUCUACAUGAGCACUUUUCAAGUGUUCCAGCAGGGGUUUGGGGGCAGGUUGGGGAGCUCUGGAGGGAGCACUGCCUUUAUAUCUGGGAGUUCGGCUUCAUGGUGUAUUUGGGAAAAAAAAAAAAAAAGGCUUCCACUACUGAACCACCUCUCUGGUCCAGCAGGCAGAAGAGAGGAGCCAGAGAGGUCAGGGGUUGGUCCAACUUGCACAGAGGUUGGGGAGUGGUGGGGGUCUGUAGCAGAACCUCAGCUUUGGGGCGUGGGCGUGAGGUGUGCAGUAGUCUCUUCAGACAGAGCUUUCAGCUGGGGUAGGGAGUUGGGAGAGGAGGCAAAAGAGAGAAUCGUAUGUUGGGGGAGUUUGAUGUUGCAGACUGGCAUCAAGAACCACAGGGGAAAAAAAUAAAAUUAAAAAAAAAAAAAAAAAAAAAGAACCACAGGGGAGUGGGUGAUCCUGGGGGCUGAGGCUGGUGCUCGGGGGUCCCUCAUGAUGUCCAUACAGGAAGGGGUGUUGGGAAGCGGUACCAUUUGGGCUGAGAAGGGUCGUGCUGUACCAGGCCCUAAUGAGGCCUGAAAUUCAAUCUCAUGUGGGUUGAGCUAUGAUGGCUUCUAGCGUCCUCUUGCAGGGCCGCGUCUACCCCAAGGAAAGGGCAGGUUUUUCUUUCCCAGGCACCUGGAGGGCUGUUUAGCCGGAGCUGUGUUUUCAUGGUAAGCAGUUUGUUUUUACUCGGAUUGGGUUUAUCUUGUGGUUCUGGGGAGACUGAGGGAGAGUGGUAAGCCAAUGCCACUCUGUUAGGGCCGCCACGUGGAUCCCUCUAAGGUCUCUGUAGUGGCGCUGGGCCCUGUGACCUUGGAGUGUGAGGGGAAGCUGUACACGGGGACAGAACGGGCCACCUGUACCCCCACAGACCCGCAGCCGAUGGACGUGUUCCUCUGCAUUUACUUGCCCAACGCACGCCCUGAGUUAGAUCCAAGACAGUGUAGAAGUGCACAUUCCUACCAGGCAUUCCAGGGUAUCUCCUUUCUUCCCUCUCCUCUUACAUCCAUCAGCCCGAUACAGGUUCCCACCUUUUGGUUCCCUUCUCCCAAGCUGAGCCAUCCGUCCCAGACAUCUAAGGGAUGAGCUGGGGGUGGGAAGGGGCGGCUGGGUGAGUAGGAGUGAGGAUGCAGCCGGGGACCCAUCCUACAGUCGCUCUGGCUCCGCAACACGUGCGCAAGAUGAUCUGCACCUUCCGCAAGCCCUUCCUUUCUCCUCUCCCCCCAGGAACAACCCGGCCUGCACGCGGUCGCCGGCGCCGACGGGCUCGAGCUGUCGCGGAGCUGCGGGCACCUGUCUGGACAGAGCCCCCUCCGCCUCGGAGGCUGAAAGGCCCGCCGGCUUCGCCAGCGGAGAGAACGGAGGAUAUCAAGACAGGAAGAGAGCCGCGUGAUCCCGAUGCCCUUCUCCUAGGAGUUUCCCCCAGCGCCUGAGGCUUGGGCCUCCAAGUAUCUACAGACUACAUUUCAAUGUGGCCGAGUUCUCCUGCCAGUUGAGUUUCCCAGCGUGGAUGUUUCUGAGACCCCAGAAAUGGAAAAAUCAGGACUUGCCUAUCUUUCAGGAAGGAUCCCUGCUGGGAGGGAGGGCGGACUGGUGUCUUGGAACUGGGAGACACCGUGCCAAAUCUGUCGAGCUUGUCAGUCCAGGCCCCGACCUCCUCAGAUCCCCUUAGUGAACUAAGGGCCAGUGGAGCCAGAACCCCACCAUGGGGACGUGGGGGCCAGCGGCAGGAUACCGACGGCAGGUUCAGCAAGGCCUCAGGCAAGAUGUUUUAUUUCAAUGAUAAUUCUCUUUCUCUAGGUAUCUGAACUUUAAGAAAGAGCCGGAGGGGCUAAAUUAAGAAACUAUUCCUAGGGGCAGAAUUAAUUCCAUUUUCUGACAGCAGCAACGACAAAUGAUAGGCAUGCACAAUGACUAAUUUUAAACACACCAGUAUUUUUUUUUUUAUUUUUCAGUGUAAAAACCAAACAUAAUAAAGAAACUUUGAAAACUA
This is an RNA transcript of Aethalodelphis obliquidens (Pacific white-sided dolphin), 5961 nucleotides long. It is a transcript of the gene named growth factor receptor bound protein 7, with no coding region annotated. The record is from RefSeq and is a predicted model, not a curated record. The transcript is spliced from 17 exons. NCBI's taxonomy places the organism in Eukaryota, Metazoa, Chordata, Mammalia, Artiodactyla, Delphinidae.